CAGCGAAACUGGCGAAUGGCUCAUUAUAUAAGUUAUCGUUUAUUUGAUAGUACCUUACUACUUGGAUAACCGUGGUAAUUCUAGAGCUAAUACAUGCUAAAAAUCCCGACUUCGGAAGGGAUGUAUUUAUUAGAUUAAAAACCAAUGCCCUCUGGGCUCCUUGGUGAUUCAUGAUAACUUCUCGAAUCGCAUGGCCUUGCGCCGGCGAUGGUUCAUUCAAAUUUCUUCCCUAUCAACUUUCGAUGUUUGGGUAGUGGCCAAACAUGGUUGCAACGGGUAACGGAGGGUUAGGGCUCGACCCCGGAGAAGGAGCCUGAGAAACGGCUACUACAUCCAAGGAAGGCAGCAGGCGCGCAAAUUACCCAAUCCCGAUUCGGGGAGGUAGUGACAAUAAAUACUGAUACAGGGCUCUUUUGGGUCUUGUAAUUGGAAUGAGUACAAUUUAAAUCCCUUAACGAGGAACAAUUGGAGGGCAAGUCUGGUGCCAGCAGCCGCGGUAAUUCCAGCUCCAAUAGCGUAUAUUAAAGUUGUUGUGGUUAAAAAGCUCGUAGUUGAACCUUGGGCCUGGCUGGCCGGUCCGCCUCACCGCGUGUACUGGUCCGGCCGGGUCUUUCCCUCUGUGGAACCCCAUGCCCUUCACUGGGUGUGGCGGGGAAACAAGACUUUUACUUUGAAAAAAUUAGAGUGCUCCACGCAGGCCUAUGCUCGAAUACAUUAGCGUGGAAUAAUGAAAUAGGACGUGCGGUUCGAUCUUGUUGGUGUCUAUGACCGCCGUCAUGAUUAUUAUGGACAGUCAGGUGCAUCGGUAUUCAGUUGUCGGAGGUGAAAUUCUUGCAUUUAUUUUUGACGAACUACUGCGAGCGCAUUGGCCGGGGAUGUUUUCAUUAAUCAAGAACGACCGUCCGGGGAUCGGAGAGUAUCAGAGCAGUCCUACUCUUAACAUCACUAGGCCAACUAGGGAG
This 962-nucleotide ribosomal RNA is filed under the name Pochonia chlamydosporia. RNAcentral describes it as "SSU rRNA". It matches the Rfam family "Eukaryotic small subunit ribosomal RNA", at positions 79 to 1053 of the family's 1831-position model. Lineage: Eukaryota; Fungi; Ascomycota; Sordariomycetes; Hypocreales; Clavicipitaceae. The record is from RNAcentral.